AGCUCAGUCAGUAAAGCAUAGCGCUAACAACGCUAAGGUUGCGGGUUCGAUUCCCAU
This 57-nucleotide transfer RNA is filed under the name Apaloderma vittatum (bar-tailed trogon). It matches the Rfam family "tRNA", at positions 9 to 63 of the family's 71-position model. From Rfam's summary of the family: Transfer RNA (tRNA) molecules are approximately 80 nucleotides in length. Their secondary structure includes four short double-helical elements and three loops (D, anti-codon, and T loops). Further hydrogen bonds mediate the characteristic L-shaped molecular structure. tRNAs have two regions of fundamental functional importance: the anti-codon, which is responsible for specific mRNA codon recognition, and the 3' end, to which the tRNAs corresponding amino acid is attached (by aminoacyl-tRNA synthetases). tRNAs cope with the degeneracy of the genetic code in two manners: having more than one tRNA (with a specific anti-codon) for a particular amino acid; and 'wobble' base-pairing, i.e. permitting non-standard base-pairing at the 3rd anti-codon position. The record is from Rfam by way of RNAcentral. Lineage: Eukaryota; Metazoa; Chordata; Aves; Trogoniformes; Trogonidae.